UAACACUAUUAGUGGGUAAUUUGGAUGGGGUAAGCCUAUGGUUAGUCCCUUACACGGGGCAAGGCCACGACGGCCGGUUGGUAGGCCAAGGGGGCAAUGGGCCGAGAUUGGCAACUGGAAGCUCUGGGCUAUGGUGAUGCCUAGGGUGGGCAGUGGCGCUUAACUAGGACCCCCGCUGGAAACCCCAGAACUAGUUAAAGCGGCCCGAGAGGACGGACGCGGUGGUCGGUUGGUUAUAGGGGUUAUAUGUAACUAGCUUAAGGUGCAUCCUGCGUGGAAUAGCCACGUAGUUAGAAAUGAUUUAGAUGACUUAUGUUCAGAUUGUCAGUUAUAUGAAAACCCAG
RNAcentral lists this small RNA (344 nucleotides) under Histoplasma ohiense. RNAcentral's name for it is "hypothetical lncRNA". The record is from RNAcentral. Lineage: Eukaryota; Fungi; Ascomycota; Eurotiomycetes; Onygenales; Ajellomycetaceae.